Long non-coding RNA from Bos taurus (domestic cattle), 1100 nucleotides. The record is from Ensembl. Lineage: Eukaryota; Metazoa; Chordata; Mammalia; Artiodactyla; Bovidae.
GCUUCGUGCAGACGGCAGGGAGGGUUCCCACAGUCAGAAAGCUGGAGUCCGAAAUGAGCCAUUCAUCAUCCUCUCUACCUGUUGCCAUUUCUUUCUGGAGUCAGGCGGGCCAGGAUCAGCCCAGAGUCGGAGGUCUGGGAUCUUCUUGAAAAACCUUCCUACCGGGUCUGAGCAAGGCCUCCUGAGAGUUAGACAUCCUUAACCUCAAGUCAGGCUCCAACGUGACAACUUGUUGGGCAACAGACAAGACCAGGGAGAUCCUGGCAGGCAGGCCCAGUCCAAGAGAGUGGAAGCACCAAAGCACCCGAACUCACAAGGAAGCCAACUCAUCCGCCUUCACGGUCACAGGGGUGACCAUUACGUCCACAGAGGGCUCCAUCCAACGUGUCGGGACCAAUGCCAUCCGGACCGGAAGGACUCAGCAGGCCUGGGCCUGGAUUCAAGGGCUGGAGAGGUUGUGCCGAAGGCAGGGAUGACCUGCAUGGGACCAGCAGAGCCUCUGGGGCAGAAAGCAGAAAUAAAAGGCAAAAACAUUUAGGAAACCCAGAGGACAUGAUCACAUUUCUUAAAGAGAUUCCACGUGGCUUACAGCACACAUCCCAUCUUCCUUCAGGACCUGUGUCUGGACAGAGGAGUUCAAGUUACAGUCAGCUCCAACAUCAUGAUUCCAGGCUCAGAGUAACCCCAGAAUCGAGAUGUGGAUGCGUGCUAAGUCGCUCAGUCGUGUCCAACUCUUUGGGACCCUAUGGACUGUAGCCUGCCAGGCUCCUCUGUGGGAAUCUCCAGGCAAGAACACUGGAGUGGGUUGCCAUGCCCUCCUCCAGGGGAUCUGCCCGACCCAAGGAUCGAACCUGCGUCUCCUGUGUCUCCUGCAUUGGCAGGCAGGUUCUUUACCACUAGCGCCACCUGGGAUGCCCGUGUGAAGUAAAGGCAGGUCACAUCAGGAGCAUUCUGGGAGUUCAGGCUGACUCUCGCUGAGCCCUCCUGCUUGGCGGGCACUCACUCCUGCACGUGCCUUCACCCUCAGGAACAGUCCUCAGGGUAACAUGCCCAUUACCCCAGGGCUAUAGAGAAAAAACUCAAGCUGAAAGCCCAUCUCC